Molecule: long non-coding RNA, 119 nt
Organism: Ipomoea nil (Japanese morning glory)
Lineage: Eukaryota; Viridiplantae; Streptophyta; Magnoliopsida; Solanales; Convolvulaceae
Exons: 2
Source: RefSeq, a predicted model, not a curated record
AUGUUCACUUUUCGUCCCUAAGUUAUCAUUGGCGUUGCACUUUUCAUCAUUUCGUGAUCACUUUUCAUCCCUGAUUAUACUAAAAUUGUAAAUUCAUUCCCUAAUGUUUUAUUAGUAAA